Molecule: ribosomal RNA, 301 nt
Filed under: uncultured bacterium
Lineage: Bacteria
Description: partial 16S ribosomal RNA
Rfam family: Bacterial small subunit ribosomal RNA
Source: RNAcentral
CAGUCGCCGCGGGAACACGUAGGGUGCAAGCGUUAAUCGGAAUUACUGGGCGUAAAGCGUGCGCAGGCGGUGAUGUAAGACAGUUGUGAAAUCCCCGGGCUCAACCUGGGAACUGCAUCUGUGACUGCAUCGCUGGAGUGCGGCAGAGGGGGAUGGAAUUCCGCGUGUAGCAGUGAAAUGCGUAGAUAUGCGGAGGAACACCGAUGGCGAAGGCAAUCCCCUGGGCCUGCACUGACGCUCAUGCACGAAAGCGUGGGGAGCAAACAGGAUUAGAUACCCGGGUAGUCCCUGUCUCUUAUAC